This 67-nucleotide transfer RNA is filed under the name Caudoviricetes sp. Its description in RNAcentral is "tRNA-Ser". Lineage: Duplodnaviria; Heunggongvirae; Uroviricota; Caudoviricetes. The record is from RNAcentral.
GUAAAUCGGGGGAGAAAUUUGCCUUGCAAGCAGGAGGUCGCCGGUUCGAUCCCGACUAUCUCCACCA